RNAcentral lists this non-coding RNA (131 nucleotides) under Candidatus Muproteobacteria. RNAcentral's name for it is "SAH sequence". It matches the Rfam family "SAH (S-adenosyl-L-homocysteine) riboswitch aptamer". The record is from RNAcentral. Lineage: Bacteria; Pseudomonadati; Pseudomonadota.
UCCAACGAGGAGCGUUGCAGCCCCGCCACUUGACCCAAGCCCUCGACACUUAUGUCGGGCAGCUGGGAUCGGUGAAGCGGCGGGGUCAGGCUCGAUGGAAGCGGGUAAAUAUGCAACGGCGCUCGCUUAUU